Long non-coding RNA from Leopardus geoffroyi (Geoffroy's cat), 1741 nucleotides. RefSeq lists it as uncharacterized. The transcript has 3 exons. The record is from RefSeq and is a predicted model, not a curated record. NCBI's taxonomy places the organism in Eukaryota, Metazoa, Chordata, Mammalia, Carnivora, Felidae.
GGAACCAUGAGAUCAUGACCUGAGCCCAACUCAGAUGUUUAACUGACUGAGCCACCCAGGUGCCCAACCCAGACCCUCAACCCCCCAACCCUCCUCCAGCCUUAGGCAAGCACCAGUAUAUCCUUUCCGUCUCAAUAGAUUUGCCUAUUCUGGACAUUUCAUAGCAAUAGAAUCAUGUAAUAUGUGGUAUUUUGUGACAGGCUUCAAAAUUAUCUCUAACAGAGAAAUAUACCAACCUACAUUUGAGUCCAAAACAUGAUUGGCAGAAACCAAAGAUGGAGACGGAGAAUUUAGAAGUUGUUGCUUAACCUUGGAGCCUCCGUUGUCUCGGGUUGCUGAUUCCUACCUCACAAGGCUGUGGUGAGGAUGUGAAGGUCCAGCCCAGGCCUGGCCCCCAACUGCUCAGCAGAGGGGACCCUCUCGAGUGAGAUGGAGGUCUAGUGAUAAGACCAACUGUGGAACAGCCUCAGAUCAAAGUAAUCUUCUGAAUCAGUGGCUGCUGUGACUUUCAAAAAGUUAAACCACAAACUAGGGUUAUGUAAGGGGUGUUUUCCCUGCCUCUCACCCAGGAGGUUGUGUCCGGGUGCCAAAGUCAGCAAAGCAGUGCUCUAGGCUCUUUCUUGCAGAAGAGGUACAGGAAUGUUCAGUCCCAUUCAGAUGGCUCCUGCUGCCCAAGAGAGAGGAGACCCUCUAGGGACCCCGCUCUCCUCUGCAUUCCCAGAUUUCUCCUGACUGUUGCCCAGGCCUCUCCUGAUCUCUCUGCAGGCCUGAACUGCUGCCUGCCAGGUCUCUGCUGGCAGCUACACAUGCCAAGGCGGAAGGCGUCUUACCUGUUCCACGUGAGCAGGGUGUUGUUGUUGCUACUACAGCAACAGCUUCAUUUUACCUCCCUGCGAAAAGUUCUACCACCAGGAACCCUCUCCUUCCGCUCUGUUCAGAUCCCUGCUUGUCCCCAGUGUGGGGCACGGUGGGAGGCCCGGAACCCAGGUCAGCAACUGACCCUCCGCCCCAGGCUGUGUCUAGGGUGGAGAUGCUCAGUGGCCACUUUUCCUGGCUCAGCCCUUGACAGGAAUGCCAGGAGCCUACCCCUUCUUUUGCCCUCCCCACAGGGAAUGAGGUCCCAUGGGAUCUUUCUCUGCUUGGCCCACACACUCAGGCCAUAGGACCGACACCCCCCAUCCCCACCAUAACAUCAGUAGUCUGGGGCUUUCCUGACAGUUGCAGGACAGAGUCUGGGGUCUCAAGCGAGAGGAAGGAGUGGAGUUCUGCCUUCCACCUUCCUGGCCCCCCCUCCCUAACCCGUGUAGCAGUUAGCUGAGGUCUGGGAAUGGAGGAGGCUGGGGCGGGGGCUGAGGUGGAGGGGAGGCUGAAGAGGAGAGGGAGAGGGAGAGGGAGAGGGAAAGGUCCUGAGAACUUCCCUUCCCUGAACUGUAUCCAACGAGGUGUGACUCCAGCCUCCCGGGAGAGGAAUGUAGUGGCUGCCAGAGAACAGUCACCGGAGCUGUGGAACAGCACCCCCGGGGCGGGGCGGGUUCGCAAAGCAGGCUGAGACCAGGGCUCAAGAUCUUUGGAGAAAAGGACUACUAUUCAUCCCCAAAUGAGGAGGGCAGGCUGACUGGAAUGGAAAAGAGUUGACCUGGACCUGCUGGUUGGAGUUGCUGGUUCCUUUCAGUCACGCUCAUGUUGACUAUUGGCCUCAUGUGGCUUGUGACUAGAACCUACAUCAAGAAGGAAAAUUCUC